GAGGAGAAAGGACUCACCCCGGCCACACAAUGACCAGCAGAGCCAGACUCAAACUCAGAGAACCGCCCUUUCCCCUGCUUGGAGAACCUCUGCUUGCGCUCAACCCACCCAGAGAUGGCCUGGCGAGCUCCUGUGCAUCCUUCAAAGCCCAGAAUGGGAAUGCACUCCAGGCUGCCUCCCAGACUCCUUGAGGAUCUGCAAGACAGGAGCUGCCCCUUCUCUGUCUUGGUUGGGACUAUCCCCAGGCUUUGGUGGGGAGGUGGGUGGGUGGGCCGGAUCCAUGGCUCCAUGUGAGGCCCAUGCUCAGGCGUGGACUAGGCUUCUGGGCCAUCUCAGGCAGCCCUUGAUGGGCUCUGCUGAUUGGUGGCCUAAAGCAGGCCACUGAGGGGAACCGGUCCCUUUUGUACAUUCUAUAGGAAGCCCCCAUGAUAGCAUUGCCAGAUAAAGCAUAGACACCCAGUUCAAUUUGAAUUUCAGAUAAGUAGCAAACACGUGAUUCAGGAGUCUACCCCAAACGUGGCAAUAUUUGAGAUUCAAAUCAAACCGGUGUCUUGCAGUUUCAUUUGCUCUGCCUGCGAACCUACCCCAGGGCGGCCCAGCCCGGCUGGGUCCGUCUUUCCCAGGUAAGGGAAGAAUGCAGAAGCCCCCCACUAAAACGUAGUGGGGGGCAUUCCCAGAUGCGUUUCUUGGCUGAGAUGGAAAAUACCCGGCAGCCCAAAGCCAGGCCUUGGGUCAGCUGUGGAUUUUGGUAGACAGGAGGCAGAGGACAGGGUCCCCACCUGCCUGGGGCGAGGCAGGCCACUCCAACUGCAUUAACCUCUCCACGGGUUGGGCCUCUUCCUCCUUUUCUUCUUAUUAUGGUAAAAUGUGUAUAGCAUGACAGUUGCCAUCCGACGACCGUUUCUGCGAAUCCAUUUCAAUGGCAUUAGUCCCCACUCACAAUGUCCCAGCUCAGAACGCUCUCAUGGUCCCAUGCUGAAGCUCUGCCCCCUUCAGCACCAGCUCCCGCUCCGUUCCAGCCCGGGCUCCCCGGGGACCUCCUGUGAGUGGAUCCUGCAGAGUGUGUCCUGUGUCUGGCUCUCCCCGAGCGGCGUCCUCUGGGUCUGUGCAGUUGGAGCACGUGACGGAAGGCCCCUGGCUGGCUGGCUGAUGCUCUGCCGUCUGGAUACAGCACGCGUCUUUACGCGGUGUGACUCCUGCAUCACCCGACACCAGGGCGACUUCCGCCUGGCUGGUGGGAAGAACGCGUCUCUCUUUGCGCCCCAGCUUUCCGUUCUUGGGGGUGAGCGCCCAGAGGCAGAGUCGCUGGGCCAUGGGUGGUGACGCUCACCUUUCCGCAGCCCCUCCGUGCUGUUCUCCUCAGCCCUUCUUGCACCUUUCCGAGGCUCGGUCAUUCUUGCCCUCUGCUUCCCUGCUCCCUCCUUCUCUUCCUCCUCCCUCUUCCUUUAAACACCGCAUCCCUGGAUCCUAUGGAAUACCUGUGGUUCUGGCUCGGGUGGGCUAAGGACCGCCUGGCCCCGAUGUGACUUCCAGGGCAGCCUCCUUCCGGAUCUGGCCUUUUUCCCCAGGCCGUCCAUUCCCAACCCCGGUGCCUGGACAGCCUCCUUCUGACGCCGUCUCUUUACCAUUGCCCCCCAAGGUUUCCUGGCGUCUCUGGUUUCCAUCCUCUACAAAUAUAAACACGUCAGGACAGCCUCUCGGCCCGGCCCGGGCCUCCCUCCUUCUCCUGCAUCUGGCCUCCCUCAUCGGAGGCAGAGGUGGGAGCCAGGCCAGAGCUGGGGGGAGAGGGGUCCUGGCCAACGGUGGCACAGGCUGUCCAGCCCUCCUCCAGAAGGUGCCCUGAGCCGGGGAGGGCUCACCCUUUGCUUGGAAGCUUGUGCCCAUCCUCUGACUUAUUUCCUGGGAGAGGAAAGACAGGCGGCAGCCCGCGGGGGCCUUUGCUGGCUCUGGUUAAACAUUACGCUGGUCCUGACCAUCCACCCGGGCUCGCGCUGUCCAGAUCCAGGGGAGCCUGGGGGAUGGGCUCCCCCAAGUCAAACCCAGAAGGCUAAACAUUCCAGGGCUCCCCAUUCUGGAGGGAAUGCACAGACACGCUUUCAUUUCAAAAGUGUCAGCGGCCAUCCGUCCUGGUGUCUGCCGGGAGACGAAGACAGCUCACCCAAGGAGUCAGGCGUAUUGCUUCUCUGGUCUCAUUUUGCUCUGUUUAAAAGUGACUUAAUUUCAAAACAAGAUGGCCAGUAAGUACAGGCUGAGCGUCCCUGACCCCAGAUCCAAGUGUUCCAAAAGCCGAAACGUUCUGAGCCCAACAUAACACCACAAGUGGAAAAUCCCACACCCGACCUCAUGUCCGGUCACAGCAAAAGGAGCAAAAUUCAGAGACCCUAAAAAUGGAAAAGGACCUUUGGACUAUGUGUACGAGGUGCAUGCAAGGCGUCAACGAACUUCAGUUCCCAUACGCAAUGACUCCCAAAUCCAAAAGAAAAGAAUUCUGAAACCCAAACACUUCUGGCCCCAAGCAACUCGGAUAAGGGAUCCUCAAGCUGCAACAAGGCUGCCGAAUGGAGGCCACAGCCACUGGGCGUUCCUGCCGCGGCUUCGUUAGCUCAGCGUGACCCCAGACCCGCUCCUAGGCCUGACUGACCCUUGGUUUUCCCGUCUCUAAAAUGGGCGCACUGCUGCCCUCCACGUCCAUGACGACUCCAGAGGGAGUCAGCUUCCUGUCCUCAUGGAGCUGAGUGGAGAAGCUGGGGACGGCACCCAGCUCCUACUGUCGACUGCGAUAGAAGUGACCAGGCAGUGGGCUAGGGGAGAACUGGGAGGCAGCUGUCCUUGUCCACAGGGCGCUAAGGAGGGCUUCCUGGAGGAGGGGACACCCGACAAAGGCCAGAAUGAGAAGAGCUGCUAGGCAGAGGCUGCUGGUGAGACGUCAGCAGGCCAGCUGGAGCUUCCGCCAGUAGCCAUGGGGGGCCUGGCGGGUGGGGUGGCCACAGUCCUCCUUCAGAAAGCCCGUUCGAGGUGCAGAGCGGAGAUGGGCUGGAUGGGCCAGGAUGAAGGCUGGGAACCGGGUAAGACCCGUGAGGUCACCAGGGUGAGCCAUCACGGAGGCGUCCACCAGGGCGGUGGCAGGAGGGCGAGCUGGGUGGAACUGAGGGCUCACCAGGGCUCAGCGUUCGAGGGACUUGGCAGCCGACAGGAGGGAGGGAACCAGGACAAGGCCCAGGUCUCCAGCUCUGGUGGCCGACUGGGUGACGUUGAUAGGAUUGCAGAAGAGAGACGGACUUGCCGCAGGGACAGAUCCUCCUUCCGAACACCCGGGGCUUCCUGUCUCUCCGGGACCCGUGGUUUCUCUGUCGCUGUGUCACCCACCCAACUGCCUGCCGCCCUGGGUCCUCUUUAAAGUGGUCCAGGUCUAGGACAGGGCUAGGACCGACACCCGGGCCAUUCUCACCCAAGCAGGGUGAUUCUGGGGGCGGGGGACAGUCACCUCUGAGCCCUUGCCCAGGAGUCACCUGCUUUCCUGGGUAACCCACCAGCAGAGGCCGACUGACCUGGGGACAUGAAGGCAGGGCCAUCUGCGCUGUUGGCAUGUGUUUUCCCCGAGUCCGUGGUUGGAAGCUUGGUCCUCAGGGCGGUGGUGUUGGGAGGCAGCACGGAACCUUCCAGAGGUGGGACUCGGUGGGAGGGCCCUGGGCCAGCUGGGAGUGUGCCCGUGGGACCCAGACUCUCUGGCUUCCUGUCUCGAGAUGUGGCCUCUCGUUCCCACAUGUGCUCUGGCCAUGGUGCCACUGACCUCGGGCCUUGCCAUGAUUUGGUUGUGGGCAGUGACCCCAGAGGUCCGUGGGUUACAGGCGUGGCCCCCGGUUUGGCCUUGUUGGUUUGGACGUGAGGUGCGCCCCAGACGCUCCUGUGUUGAUGCAGGAGGUGGAUGGCGAGAUCCCGGCAGCCGGCCCCUGAGCUGGCCCCUGAGCCGGCCAGCCUGACCUGAGAGAACUGAGCGGGCAGGUCCCAGCUUCCGCGUAGUUGGAGGAGUUAGCCGGCCGGGGCCAUGCCCUGGGGGACUGUAUCUUGUCCUCCUGCUCCCUGCCCUCUGCUGCCUGGCCUCCCUGUCCCCAGCUGCUUUCCUCGGCCACGCCCUUCUGCCACGAUGCUCUGCCUCACCUGGGCCUGGAGCAGUGGAGUCGCCUGACCACGGACUGGACCUCUGAGACCAUGAGCCCAGGUAAACCCUUCCUCCUCUACGUUGCUUUGCCAGGCAUUGUGCUCAUGUGAAAAGUUGGCUCACAGAGCACUUUGGGGAGGUGCCUGAGCCAUUGAGAGGUGGGGCCUAGCGGAAGUUCCUGAGGUCACCAGGGAGGGGCAUGUCCGUGGAGGGAACACCAGGUUCUCAGUCUCUCUUAUGCUUUCUGGUUUAUGAGGUGAGUGGUUUUCUCUGCUAUCAUUCCUGCUUCUCUCCCCAGAGCCCCAAAGUCAUGGGAUAGAGCCUCAAUCUUGCAUGGGAACCUCCAGAACCAUGAAACAAAACAACCCUUUUCUCUUUAUAAAUUAAUUUCCUCAUGUAUUUUGUUAUAGCAAUGAAAAGUGGACUAAUACACCAUCUCAGAUCAA
Molecule: long non-coding RNA, 4605 nt
Organism: Ictidomys tridecemlineatus (thirteen-lined ground squirrel)
Lineage: Eukaryota; Metazoa; Chordata; Mammalia; Rodentia; Sciuridae
Source: RefSeq, a predicted model, not a curated record